Molecule: ribosomal RNA, 946 nt
Filed under: Vibrio sp. BL58
Lineage: Bacteria; Pseudomonadati; Pseudomonadota; Gammaproteobacteria; Vibrionales; Vibrionaceae
Description: bacterial SSU rRNA
Rfam family: Bacterial small subunit ribosomal RNA
Source: RNAcentral
CGAGCGGAACGACUUAACUGAACCUUCGGGGAACGUUAAGGGCGUCGAGCGGCGGACGGGUGAGUAAUGCCUAGGAAAUUGCCCUGAUGUGGGGGAUAACCAUUGGAAACGAUGGCUAAUACCGCAUGAUGCCUACGGGCCAAAGAGGGGGACCUUCGGGCCUCUCGCGUCAGGAUAUGCCUAGGUGGGAUUAGCUAGUUGGUGAGGUAAUGGCUCACCAAGGCGACGAUCCCUAGCUGGUCUGAGAGGAUGAUCAGCCACACUGGAACUGAGACACGGUCCAGACUCCUACGGGAGGCAGCAGUGGGGAAUAUUGCACAAUGGGCGCAAGCCUGAUGCAGCCAUGCCGCGUGUGUGAAGAAGGCCUUCGGGUUGUAAAGCACUUUCAGUCGUGAGGAAGGUGGUAGUGUUAAUAGCACUAUCAUUUGACGUUAGCGACAGAAGAAGCACCGGCUAACUCCGUGCCAGCAGCCGCGGUAAUACGGAGGGUGCGAGCGUUAAUCGGAAUUACUGGGCGUAAAGCGCAUGCAGGUGGUUUGUUAAGUCAGAUGUGAAAGCCCGGGGCUCAACCUCGGAAUAGCAUUUGAAACUGGCAGACUAGAGUACUGUAGAGGGGGGUAGAAUUUCAGGUGUAGCGGUGAAAUGCGUAGAGAUCUGAAGGAAUACCGGUGGCGAAGGCGGCCCCCUGGACAGAUACUGACACUCAGAUGCGAAAGCGUGGGGAGCAAACAGGAUUAGAUACCCUGGUAGUCCACGCCGUAAACGAUGUCUACUUGGAGGUUGUGGCCUUGAGCCGUGGCUUUCGGAGCUAACGCGUUAAGUAGACCGCCUGGGGAGUACGGUCGCAAGAUUAAAACUCAAAUGAAUUGACGGGGGCCCGCACAAGCGGUGGAGCAUGUGGUUUAAUUCGAUGCAACGCGAAGAACCUUACCUACUCUUGACAUCC